AAAUCAUUUUUCUGAAAGCCAAUUCGAAAAUAAGCUAUCUUUAUAAAUCAAAGUCAACGAAAAAAAACAACAUUUAGACACCAAAUAUAACUUCAAAACCCCACAAUAUAUAUAUAUAUAUAUAUAGAGAGAGAGAGAGAGAGAGAGAGAGAGAGAGAGAGAGAGUUGAGCUAGAAUACUCUCGAUAUUAAACGGAGUGUUUUACUAUCGAGUUGUUUUCGAUAAUAGAGCUUCCAAAUUGACGAUCGGCUCCGUUAAAUAUGAUCUAAACCAUUUAAACUACCUAGAAAUUAAAUUUUACG
RNAcentral lists this long non-coding RNA (302 nucleotides) under Ananas comosus (pineapple). Its description in RNAcentral is "long non-coding RNA (ACOM_LNC040199)". The record is from RNAcentral. Lineage: Eukaryota; Viridiplantae; Streptophyta; Magnoliopsida; Poales; Bromeliaceae.